UCCCAAUUCAUCACAAAUCUGAAUUUUCCAACUUCAACUAGAAAGGAAAGUGUUUAGCCACUCAUGGUGGACAAAAUCACAAAAGAAAAAAAAAAGAAAGAAGAGAUUGCUGCGUUUCUGGAGAGUUUCUGAAGCUGAGAGAUGAUCAGAAGAUGCCUUUGCUGGUUUGGAGGCUCUCCUUUUAUAGCUGAAGAAUUCUAUCUAUCUAGGGUUUUGAAAUCCCUUUUUGAUUUGGUGUUUG
RNAcentral lists this long non-coding RNA (241 nucleotides) under Manihot esculenta (cassava). Its description in RNAcentral is "long non-coding RNA (MESC_LNC003331)". The record is from RNAcentral. Lineage: Eukaryota; Viridiplantae; Streptophyta; Magnoliopsida; Malpighiales; Euphorbiaceae.